AGACAAGCGUGUCCGUAGUAUGUUGCUCGCCGUAUCAAUGUCCAUUUCUUGUUCUUUUCAUCUCACGUGGUUUUCGUAAUUGCCAAUUUUUUAAUUGAUUAUGGUGGUGAAAUUUGGCUUGCUAUCACUAUUGCUGUUUUGCUGCUUUAAAUCGUAAUAAAUGAAAAGAAUUACUAAUGCCAAUAGGUUGGUUGGUUGAGGGCUGAUGACCAGACGAUUUGAACCUUGAACGUACGUGGCGUACAAUCCCCGUGUGUCAGUGAAUCAUGAUGAUUCACGCACAUGGGGACCUGCAGAUCCGCCAACUCGAGGAAUCCGAUCAAGGAUGUGUCAGUUCAGUUGAAUGUAACAGAUCAACACAGCCGUGAUGAAGAAGCAAAUCAAGUUCAGGUGCCCCCGGAUAUUGUCGACGAUCGAAUUACGGGUGACGUCAUUGACAACGAAGGCGACAACGUGACGCUGACGUGCAUAGCCAAGGGCAAACUUAAUCCGAGGGGCGUCGUGAAGACAACCAAAAAGAGUCGUAGUGGAACGAAGAUAUUCAAAAAAUGGCAGUAAAUCAGAUGGAACAACAUCCAUUAAGCCUAUUGUUGUUCCAGAACUGCAGACUUUUACAACUAACUUCAACGACCUACGAUAGUGAAGACGAGGGAACGAUUCAAAGUUUUAUUAUUCAAGAAGUGGACGCUUGUGAUGGUGAAACAUUAAGACUAUACCGCGUGACAAGUCACAUGAAGACGUCUUACCCGCAGUCAGCAAACGUGUGCAGCUCACCGUUAACUUUCCACCCGUGGUGACGUCGUCGAUGGGCGUGGUGGCUGUUCUGCUAAACACCGAUGUCCGUCUGACAUGCCGAGAAUCAGUUACUGGAUGAAGGGAAGUCAACAAGCACAACACAAUACAAUUUGUGUCAAGCCCCAAGUACAACAUCGACGACGGUGAAAGAGCCCUCUCGCUGGACAGUAUUUUGAGUGUAAAAAAUUAUCAAACAGAAGUGACCAGACCGGUGAGCGGAUCCACACCCAACAGCUGUCUGACAGUUUCGUUUGACAGCAACAUCGCCAUGGAAGAUGGGCAAAGUUGGUGCAUACUUCAUAGAAAGGACGAAGACUCUAGUGGGGAACGAAUGUGAUUGGCAUGACAGAUGAAGACAGCCAUCAGUCAAUUUAGAAUGUUGUCGAGACUAUUUAGAUACCCCAACAGACUUAAUGUGCAGCAAAGUGACACAUUCCGUGGGAGUGUUUGAGCGGAAGUAGUCCAAUCCGGGGGAGGGUUUGUAUAAUCGAGCGACUCGUAAAUAGAAUAACGUUCUGCUGUGGUUCGAACUUUUCAAUUUUGCUCGAUUUCUCUGUAGAAAUAAAUGACGGAUUCAUUUCAA
Molecule: unclassified non-coding RNA, 1378 nt
Filed under: Daphnia magna
Lineage: Eukaryota; Metazoa; Arthropoda; Branchiopoda; Diplostraca; Daphniidae
Description: uncharacterized LOC116932124, transcript variant X5
Source: RNAcentral